AGGGUGCAAAAUGCAUCANUAAGAGAUGGACNUGCGUUGUAUUAGNUAGUUGGUGAGGUAACGGCUCACCAAGGCGACGAUACAUAGCCGACCUGAGAGGGUGAUCGGCCACACUGGGAAUGAGACACGGCCCAGACUCCUACGGGAGGCAGCAGUAGGGAAUCUUNGGCAAUGGGGGCAACCNUGACCGAGCAACGCCGCGUGAGUGAAGAAGGUUUUCGGAUCGUAAAGCUAUGUUGUAAGAGAAGAACGAGUGUGAGAGUGGAAAGUUCACACUGUGACGGUAACUUACCAGAAAGGGACGGCUAACUACGUGCCAGCAGCCGCGGUAAUACGUAGGUCCCGAGCGUUAUCCGGAUUUAUUGGGCGUAAAGCGAGCGCAGGCGGUUAGAUAAGUNUGAAGUUAAAGGCUGUGGCUUAACCAUAGUACGCUUUGGAAACUGUUUAACUUGAGUGCAGAAGGGGAGAGUGGAAUUCCAUGUGUAGCGGUGAAAUGCGUAGAUAUAUGGAGGAACACCGGUGGCGAAAGCGGCUCUCUGGUCUGUAACUGACGCUGAGGCUCGAAAGCGUGGGGAGCAAACAGG
This 584-nucleotide ribosomal RNA is filed under the name uncultured Streptococcus sp. RNAcentral describes it as "bacterial SSU rRNA". It matches the Rfam family "Bacterial small subunit ribosomal RNA", at positions 202 to 776 of the family's 1533-position model. The record is from RNAcentral. Lineage: Bacteria; Bacillati; Bacillota; Bacilli; Lactobacillales; Streptococcaceae.